CCUACCUGACCAUCUGAGAUUCAGUGCUUAACUUCCAGAUGUUAAAGCCGGAUCUACAGUAUGUCUUCUAUGAAGAAAUCUCAUUUUUAUUUGAAGAACAGAAGCGAUGACCAUCUAAGCAUGCUCUCAGGUAAACUGUUCCUACAUUUAAUUAUCCUCGAGAUAAAAAUGUUUUCUUUAUUUUCAUACAAAUUGAACUUCAUUAUCUUUUUUUUCUUGUAUGUGUGUGUGUGUACUAGAAUUGUAAGGUGUCAACUACUAGAAAUCGUUUCCCUAUGCAGGUACUUCUAGAUUGAGCCACAGUAGCACGUGGAGCUAAAUAUGCUCUGUGUUUUCAAAACCAUUUAAACUGAUUGAACUAAACAAGAAGAGUGGGAUUCUCUUCUCAUAAUUAUGAAACACUACCGUCUUUUAUAAGGAAAAAAGUCAAAUAAGGUCUCUGCAGAGAGCCCCUGUUGUUUCUAGUAUUGCUUCACUUAACAUUAGGAAAUACUCACAUCAUUUAAAAAUGGAAUUGCCGAUUAUAAUUAGGGUAGGAGGAAGGGAGAAAACAGCGAAGGAAACAAGAGAACAGCAGUGUUGCCAGGACAUAGCAUUAGGGUGACAGAAAUCCUCACCAGCACCUCCUGUAAGAGGGGGUGGAUCCGCUCACAGGGGUGGAAAACACGUUACAAAAUUUCUUCUGUGACCCACAAAGCGGCGAGAAAAACUUACAGCAAGACUACAGCAUGAAAGAGUUUACAAGAUAAAAACAGCGAAACUAUGAGCAAAGGAAUGUAGGAGAAAUCCUGGGUUUCUCUUGCACCAUCUGCAGAGGUAUGGCAUAAUCAAAGCAAUACACACUGGGAAAUGUUGGAAGCUCAGAAAGAGUGUAAGAUUCGGCUACAGGCUACGUCCAAGUCUGGGAGGUUUUGUAGUAGAACAACAGACCUGGGGCCAUAGGCUCACGUUGGAGUCCAAUACUUGCAAUUAGCUCCCAAUUAGAGUCAUGUAGAUCUUAAGUAAUACCAUGGACUUCAGAGGUGUUACAGCUGAUAAUCGGGUCGAUACCAGUAGGGUACGCAGUCACCACCAGAACCUCAUUAAGCACGUAUGAUUAUUCAGAAAUAGCAGUAAUGUCUACCAGAGUUCUUUUAAUGGUUGUCAACAACACAAAGGAAGCUCAU
Long non-coding RNA from Gallus gallus (chicken), 1166 nucleotides. The record is from Ensembl. NCBI's taxonomy places the organism in Eukaryota, Metazoa, Chordata, Aves, Galliformes, Phasianidae.